RNA transcript from Zalophus californianus (California sea lion), 2617 nucleotides. It is a transcript of the gene named G protein-coupled receptor kinase 5, with no coding region annotated. The transcript has 17 exons. NCBI's taxonomy places the organism in Eukaryota, Metazoa, Chordata, Mammalia, Carnivora, Otariidae. The record is from RefSeq and is a predicted model, not a curated record.
CUGUUGAGGGAGGGGGGAGGGGGGACACAGAGGGAGGAAGAAGCGGCGGCGGCGGCUCCUCUUUGCAGAGGGGGAAAACUCCGAGGGAUAAGAGCAGGAAUAAUGCGGUAGGCAAGGCGGGCUGCUCGCUCCCGGCUCCCGGCUCCGGCAGCAGCAGCGGCAGCCCGAGCAGCGGCAGCAGCAGCGGCAGCACCUCCAGCAGCUGACAGCCCCGCCGGCAGGCUCUCUCGCUGACCGCCGACUGUCAAUGGAGCUGGAAAACAUCGUGGCCAACACGGUCUUGCUGAAAGCCAGGGAAGGGGGUGGAGGAAAGCGCAAGGGGAAAAGCAAGAAGUGGAAGGAAAUCCUGAAGUUUCCUCACAUUAGCCAGUGUGAAGACCUCCGAAGGACCAUAGACAGAGAUUACUGCAGUUUAUGUGACAAGCAGCCAAUUGGGAGACUGCUUUUCCGGCAGUUCUGCGAAACCAGACCUGGGCUAGAGUGUUACAUUCAGUUCCUGGACUCAGUGGCAGAAUAUGAAGUUACUCCAGAUGAAAAGCUGGGGGAAAAAGGGAAGGAAAUUAUGACCAAGUACCUCACCCCAAAGUCCCCAGUUUUCAUUGCCCAAGUUGGCCAGGACCUGGUCUCCCAGACGGAGGAGAAGCUCCUACAGAGGCCCUGCAAGGAACUCUUUUCUGCCUGUGCACAGUCUGUCCACGACUAUCUGAAGGGAGAGCCCUUCCAUGAGUAUCUGGACAGUAUGUAUUUUGAUCGCUUUCUCCAGUGGAAGUGGUUGGAAAGGCAACCGGUCACCAAAAACACUUUCAGGCAGUACCGAGUACUAGGAAAAGGGGGCUUUGGGGAGGUCUGUGCCUGCCAGGUUCGGGCCACGGGUAAAAUGUAUGCCUGCAAGCGCUUGGAGAAGAAGAGAAUCAAAAAGAGGAAAGGGGAGUCCAUGGCGCUUAACGAGAAGCAGAUCCUGGAGAAGGUCAACAGCCAGUUUGUGGUCAACCUGGCCUAUGCCUACGAGACCAAGGAUGCGCUGUGCUUGGUUCUGACCAUCAUGAAUGGGGGUGACCUGAAGUUCCACAUUUACAACAUGGGUAACCCUGGCUUUGAGGAGGAGCGAGCCUUGUUUUACGCGGCAGAGAUCCUCUGUGGCUUAGAAGACCUCCACCGGGAGAACACCGUGUACAGAGAUUUGAAACCCGAAAAUAUCCUGCUAGAUGAUUAUGGCCACAUUCGGAUCUCGGACCUGGGUCUGGCCGUGAAGAUCCCCGAGGGAGACCUGAUCCGCGGCCGGGUGGGCACCGUCGGCUACAUGGCUCCGGAGGUCCUGAACAACCAGAGAUACGGCCUGAGCCCUGACUACUGGGGUCUGGGCUGCCUCAUCUAUGAGAUGAUCGAGGGCCAGUCACCAUUCCGGGGCCGCAAAGAGAAGGUGAAGCGGGAAGAAGUGGACCGCCGGGUCCUGGAGAUGGAGGAGGUGUACUCCCAAAAGUUCUCCGAGGAGGCCAAGUCCAUUUGCAAAAUGCCCAUCCCUUCUCUUCCAGGAAGCCCACCCUGCCUGCGCCACUUGCCCAGCUCACACCACUUCUCCCUCUUGCUUCUCCCGGUGUACACUCGAUGUCAGAGUUGCAAACAGGCAGCGUGUUGGAUGUUCAGCCUGCAUGGUGUUUCAGAAAGAGCUGCUCACCAAAGAUUCAAAGCAGAGACUGGGCUGCCGGGAGGAGGGGGCUGCGGAGGUCAAGAGACACCCCUUCUUCAGGAACAUGAAUUUCAAGCGCUUAGAAGCCGGGAUGUUGGACCCUCCCUUCAUUCCAGACCCCCGCGCCGUGUACUGCAAGGACGUGCUGGACAUCGAGCAGUUCUCCACCGUGAAAGGCGUCAACCUGGACCACACAGACGAUGACUUCUACUCCAAGUUCUCCACGGGCUCCGUGCCCAUCCCGUGGCAGAGCGAGAUGAUAGAAACCGAGUGCUUUAAGGAGCUGAACGUGUUUGGACCUAACGGUACCCUCUCACCGGACCUGAACAGAAGUCACCCUCCAGAACCGCCGAAGAAAGGGCUGCUUCAGAGGAUCUUCAAGCGUCAGCAUCAAAACAAUUCCAAGAGUUCACCCAAUCCCAAGACCAGUUUUAACCACCACAUAAAUUCAAACCAUGUCAGUUCAAACUCCACCGGAAGCAGCUAGUUGGAGCUCUGGCCUUGAAGUCCGCGGUGGGACCAGCCUAGACCCUUGUCCUUAGCAGCAGAACUUGUGGACGGGGGAGCCCUCCAGGAGCCGGGAAGGAGGCCGGCUGCCUCCUUGACACAGAGCCUCCAGGUUUCUCAAAGAGAUUUCCACUCAGGUCUGUCUCCAGAGGUGGCCCUCAAGCCGACGUGGAACAUUGCAAUAGAAAUCCAAUUGGAUACGACAACUUGCACGUAUUUUAAUAGCGUCAUACCUAGAACUGAAUUUUGUCUUUAUUAUUUUUAAAGAAAAGUUUUGUAAAUUUCUCUAUUGUCUCAGUUUACAUUUUGUAUAUUUGUAUUUAAAUGAAAGUCAGACUUUGAGGGUGUAUAUUUUCUGUGCAGCCACUGUUAAGCCAUGUGUUUUAAGGCAUUUUAGAGUGGGCGGGGUGGGGGGGGAUUUAC